UACGAAGGGUGCAAGCGUUACUCGGAAUUACUGGGCGUAAAGCGUGCGUAGGCGGUUUGUUAAGUCCGUUGUGAAAGCCCUGGGCUCAACCUGGGAAUUGCAGUGGAUACUGGCGAGCUAGAGUGCGGUAGAGGAUGGUGGAAUUCCCGGUGUAGCGGUGGAAUGCGUAGAGAUCGGGAAGAACACCCGUGGCGAAGGCGGCCAGCUGGGCCGGUUCUGACGCUGAGGCGCGAAAGCGUGGGGAGCAAACAGG
RNAcentral lists this ribosomal RNA (253 nucleotides) under uncultured bacterium. RNAcentral's name for it is "partial 16S ribosomal RNA". It matches the Rfam family "Bacterial small subunit ribosomal RNA", at positions 524 to 776 of the family's 1533-position model. The record is from RNAcentral.